CUGCCCCAGGAGGAGCUUUUUUUUUUGGGGCUGCUGCUUUCUUGCUGCAUGGGGAUGUGCUGGGAGUUUUGGGCAGCUGCAGCCCCUCCUGCCCUUCUUCCAGCUCAUGUUUGGGUUGAUAGAAGUGCCAUGGGAGGCAGGAGACCCUUGCACCGGUGCUGUGAUGCUGUUGUCACCCCGACAGACGCGGUCCCAGCUCCGUGCUACAACCCACUAGCUGGCGCAGCGGCUCUGCAGCACCCCUAAAGCCUGCGGGGUGCUCGGAGGCAAAGGACAGCGCUGCUCCCUGGGUGCCAGCCGCCCCCCCCUCCUGGGAGAAGCCACCGCGUCGCCCUUCCACUGCAUGCAGCAAAAUUUAUUUUUGACUCAAGGUGGUGUUUCCAGCUGUGUGGGCUACGAUAGGAAACUAUGUGGGGGGAACAGGUUCAGGCCUGGCUGUGGUCGGCCCCGUAACCGCAGGGGCGCCCUGGCUGCCAUCUCCUGCUCCACGUGCGGUUCCAGCGCUGCCAGCCCCGAGGAGCUAACGGCACGGCUUGCAUGCCAGGGCCGCCUUCACCUGCUGGUUUCUGGAGCGAGUCAUUGUGGGACGUCUGCUUUCAGCUUAAAAGCAAAAAAUAUUCCUGCCAGUCGCUGUGAGAAAGACUGAAAAUAAGAGCUGGGCAUAUCCUGUUGGCUCAAAAACAGCCGGAUGGCAUAUUAUUGAAGUACGUGGUGGUUUUCAGAGUCAGUUACGUGUUUUGUAAGGCUUGCUUAUGACUUCUGAACUAGAAGUAGAAAUGCUGAGUUUCUUGAAUGCAUGUAAAAACAUUUGGGGAAUAGCCCUGCUAGGGUGAGGAGGGUGCCUGCAUUAGACCUCACUGCACAGCGUGAGAUGCUUAAGAUCAGGAACUGUGGCCAAGCCUUUGGUAAUUAGCUAAAUUACACUUGUGGUGCAGCCCCUGAUCAUGCCAGUGUCUGAAAAUGAUGUAACAGUAUUUGCCUAACAAAUAAGGAACCAGCCAACACAGGAAUUAUAGCUAUUUUUACAGAUAGCUGUAAAAGUUUGAUUUAAUGUUUUUGUGUAGAAAAGCAUUCAAGUUACAAAUUUCAUUUAUUAAAACAUGAAAAUGUGGGAAAAAAAAUCUCAAAUUAUGAAUCGAAAAUACUUUUUCUCAAGCCUGGUGUUACUUGAAAAUAGCGUCCCCUUCACUUCAUGUCUAGCAAGGCUUCUUGCCCUACUAAAUGCAUGCCCUGCUUCACCAUUUCACUUCUCUCUUUGAAGGGGAGUGACUGUGCUUUGCUCUUCAUUAGACCGACACAUGAACUCUCAGCUGGUUCUUUAAGGUAUAAUAACUAUGUCAGGGUUUUCAUUCUUAAUUUCCUUGAGCUGCUGAAUAGUUUAUAGCUAGGACCACCUCAAAAGAUCCAACGUUCCCGUGUGUUGAAUGUUUUCAGUUUUACUCAAAGUUAACAUUUCAUGCUUGUGCUGUAUAAGCACAAUGAUUCAGUUUUUAACGUGUCUGCUAUGAGCUAGUCCUAUUUUCGUCUGAACAUCCUCUCUUCCUAAGGAUGUUUUUACCCUACUGUCAUGUAACUGUCCUACACAGCCUUUCGCUACCUGGCUUGUUAACUAUUGUUAACAAUAAAGGAGUAUCUUUACUAUGAA
Anas platyrhynchos (mallard) is the source of this 1645-nucleotide non-coding RNA. Lineage: Eukaryota; Metazoa; Chordata; Aves; Anseriformes; Anatidae. The record is from RefSeq and is a predicted model, not a curated record.